Molecule: ribosomal RNA, 468 nt
Filed under: uncultured bacterium
Lineage: Bacteria
Description: partial 16S ribosomal RNA
Rfam family: Bacterial small subunit ribosomal RNA
Source: RNAcentral
GACGAACGCUGGCGGCGUGCUUAACACAUGCAAGUCGAACGGACAGGCCCUGCUUUUGUUGGGUGCUCGAGUGGCGAACGGGUGAGUAACACGUGGGUAACCUGCCCUUGACUUUGGGAUAACUUCAGGAAACUGGGGCUAAUACCGGAUAGGAGCUCCUGCUGCUUGGUGGGGGUUGGAAAGUUUCGGCGGUUGGGGAUGGACUCGCGGCUUAUCAGCUUGUUGGUGGGGUAGUGGCUUACCAAGGCUUUGACGGGUAGCCGGCCUGAGAGGGUGACCGGCCACAGUGGGACUGAGAAACGGGCCAGACUCCUACGGGAGGCAGCAGUGGGGAAUAUUGCACAAUGGGCGGAAGCAGUAUGCAGCAACGCCGCGUGCGGGAUGACGGCCUUCGGGUUGUAAACCGCUUUCGCCUGUGACGAAGCGUGAGUGACGGUAAUGGGUAAAGAAGCACCGGCUAACUACGUG